RNAcentral lists this ribosomal RNA (506 nucleotides) under uncultured bacterium. RNAcentral's name for it is "partial 16S ribosomal RNA". It matches the Rfam family "Bacterial small subunit ribosomal RNA", at positions 29 to 523 of the family's 1533-position model. The record is from RNAcentral.
AUUGAACGCUGGCGGCAGGCCUAACACAUGCAAGCCGGACGGUAGCACAGAGGAGCUUGCUCCUCGGGUGACGAGUGGCGGACGGGUGAGUAAUGUCUGGGGAUCUGCCCGAUAGAGGGGGAUAACCACUGGAAACGGUGGCUAAUACCGCAUAACGUCGCAAGACCAAAGAGGGGGACCUUCGGGCCUCUCACUAUCGGAUGAACCCAGAUGGGAUUAGCUAGUAGGCGGGGUAAUGGCCCACCUAGGCGACGAUCCCUAGCUGGUCUGGGAGGAUGAGCAGCCACACUGGAACUGAGACACGGUCCAGACGCCUACGGGAGGCAGCAGUGGGGAAUAUUGCACAAUGGGCGCAAGCCUGAUGCAGCCAUGCCGCGUGUAUGAAGAAGGCCUUCGGGUUGUAAAGUACUUUCAGCGGGGAGGAAGGCGAUGUGGUUAAUAACCUUGUCGAUUGACGUUACCCGCAGAAGAAGCACCGGCUAACUCCGUGCCAGCCGCCGCCGUAA